This 75-nucleotide transfer RNA is filed under the name bacterium. RNAcentral describes it as "tRNA-Ala". It matches the Rfam family "tRNA". Rfam says of the family: Transfer RNA (tRNA) molecules are approximately 80 nucleotides in length. Their secondary structure includes four short double-helical elements and three loops (D, anti-codon, and T loops). RNAcentral also lists the same sequence under 2 other names. The record is from RNAcentral.
GGGGCUGUAGCUCAGCGGGAGAGCGCCUCUUUGGCGUAGAGGAGGCCGUGGGUUCAAUUCCCACCAGCUCCACCA